Molecule: transfer-messenger RNA, 344 nt
Filed under: Spirochaetota bacterium
Lineage: Bacteria; Pseudomonadati; Spirochaetota
Also listed under: 1 other name
Description: Spirochaetes bacterium (activated sludge metagenome) transfer-messenger RNA
Rfam family: transfer-messenger RNA
About the family: Bacterial tmRNA, also known as 10Sa RNA or SsrA, is named for its dual tRNA and mRNA-like properties.
Source: RNAcentral
GGGGACGCAUUGGCUUCGAUUAUCGUAUUGGUUGUUUGAAAAGCAUGCACGGUAGCCUCCAUCCAAAAGGCAAUCUGUAUAACUGCAGAAAACGAAACUUACGCUCUCGCAGCUUAAUCGCUCGGAGCACUGGUAAUGGCCUGAGUCUGCGGAAGCUAUUACCUUAAACCUACAGCAGAAUAGCCUUGGCGCACGCGGCGUGCGUUAGGGCGAAGUUAAGCCGCUAUGUGGAAUUAUUGCCUGUCGGUGGGCGGUGUUCCAAUGAAAAACAAUUACCGACUAAGCAUGUAGAAAGCGAAUGAUUGAGCGGUAAGACGCGGGUUCGACUCCCGCCGUCUCCAUAG